UGAACGCUGGCGGUAGGCCUAACACAUGCAAGUCGAACGGCAGCACAGUAAGAGCUUGCUCUUACGGGUGGCGAGUGGCGGACGGGUGAGGAAUACAUCGGAAUCUACUUUUUCGUGGGGGAUAACGUAGGGAAACUUACGCUAAUACCACAUACGACCUACGGGUGAAAGCAGGGGAUCUUCGGACCUUGCGCGAUUGAAUGAGCCGAUGUCGGAUUAGCUAGUUGGCGGGGUAAAGGCCCACCAAGGCGACGAUCCGUAGCUGGUCUGAGAGGAUGAUCCGCCACACUGGAACUGAGACACGGUCCAGACUCCUACGGGAGGCAGCAGUGGGGAAUAUUGGACAAUGGGCGCAAGCCUGAUCCAGCCAUACCGCGUGGGUGAAGAAGGCCUUCGGGUUGUAAAGCCCUUUUGUUGGGAAAGAAAAGCAGCAGGUUAAUACCCCGCUGUUCUGACGGUACCCAAAGAAUAAGCACCGGCUAACUUCGUG
This 490-nucleotide ribosomal RNA is filed under the name uncultured bacterium. RNAcentral describes it as "partial 16S ribosomal RNA". It matches the Rfam family "Bacterial small subunit ribosomal RNA", at positions 30 to 507 of the family's 1533-position model. The record is from RNAcentral.